CUAAAAUGGAUGAUGUUAUUGAGAGUUGGGUAAAGAAAUUGUGUAAGAAUGUCAAUCUACUCGUCAUGCUCUACCUAAAGCCUCAUUAUAUCCAUGGGAGGUGACUAGGUCCCAUUUACAUAUAGAUUUUGCUGGCCCGUUUCAUGGACAGAUUUUUCUUUAGUUGUUGACUCCUUUUCAAAAUGGUAAGAAGUUGUUUCAGU
Non-coding RNA from Pelobates cultripes (western spadefoot toad), 203 nucleotides. Lineage: Eukaryota; Metazoa; Chordata; Amphibia; Anura; Pelobatidae. The record is from the annotation of a GenBank genome assembly.